Molecule: ribosomal RNA, 460 nt
Filed under: uncultured bacterium
Lineage: Bacteria
Description: partial 16S ribosomal RNA
Rfam family: Bacterial small subunit ribosomal RNA
Source: RNAcentral
CCUACGGGGGGCAGCAGUGAGGAAUAUUGGUCAAUGGACGAGAGUCUGAACCAGCCAAGUAGCGUGAAGGAUUACUGCCCUAUGGGUUGUAAACUUCUUUUAUAUGGGAAUAAAAUGUUCCACGUGUGGGAUUUUGUAUGUACCAUAUGAAUAAUGAUCGGCUAACUCCGUGCCAGCAGCCGCGGUAAUACGGAGGAUGCGUGCGUUAUCCGGAUUUGUUGGGUUGAAAGGGCGCGUAGGUGGAUUGUUAAGUGAGGUGUGAAAGUUUGCGGCUCAACCGGAAAAUUGCAGUUGAAACUGGCAGUCUAGAGUACAGUAGAGGUGGGCGGAAUUCGGGGUGUAGCGGUGAAAUGCUUAGAUAUCACGAAGAACUCCGAUUGCGAAGGCAGCUCACUGGACUGCAACUGACACUGAGGCACGAAAGUGAGGGUAUCAAACAGGAUUAGAUACCCGAGUAGUC